Molecule: transfer RNA, 69 nt
Filed under: Marmota monax (woodchuck)
Lineage: Eukaryota; Metazoa; Chordata; Mammalia; Rodentia; Sciuridae
Rfam family: tRNA
About the family: Transfer RNA (tRNA) molecules are approximately 80 nucleotides in length. Their secondary structure includes four short double-helical elements and three loops (D, anti-codon, and T loops). Further hydrogen bonds mediate the characteristic L-shaped molecular structure. tRNAs have two regions of fundamental functional importance: the anti-codon, which is responsible for specific mRNA codon recognition, and the 3' end, to which the tRNAs corresponding amino acid is attached (by aminoacyl-tRNA synthetases). tRNAs cope with the degeneracy of the genetic code in two manners: having more than one tRNA (with a specific anti-codon) for a particular amino acid; and 'wobble' base-pairing, i.e. permitting non-standard base-pairing at the 3rd anti-codon position.
Source: Rfam by way of RNAcentral
GGUGUUGUAGCUCAUUGGUAGAGCGCUCACCUAGCACAGGUGAGGCAGUAGAUUCAAUCCUCAUCACCA